GAUGAACGCUGGCGGCGUGCCUAAUACAUGCAAGUCGAGCGAACAGACGAGGAGCUUGCUCCUCUGACGUUAGCGGCGGACGGGUGAGUAACACGUGGAUAACCUACCUAUAAGACUGGGAUAACUUCGGGAAACCGGAGCUAAUACCGGAUAAUAUAUUGAACCGCAUGGUUCAAUAGUGAAAGACGGUUUUGCUGUCACUUAUAGAUGGAUCCGCGCCGCAUUAGCUAGUUGGUAAGGUAACGGCUUACCAAGGCAACGAUGCGUAGCCGACCUGAGAGGGUGAUCGGCCACACUGGAACUUAGAAACGGUCCAGACUCCUACGGGAGGCAGCAGUAGGGAAUCUUCCGCAAUGGGCGAAAGCCUGACGGAGCAACGCCGCGGGAGUGAUGAAGGUCUUCGGAUCGUAAAACUCUGUUAUUAGGGAAGAACAAAUGUGUAAGUAACUAUGCACGUCUUGACGGUACCUAAUCAGAAAGCCACGGCUAACUACGUG
Molecule: ribosomal RNA, 497 nt
Filed under: uncultured bacterium
Lineage: Bacteria
Description: partial 16S ribosomal RNA
Rfam family: Bacterial small subunit ribosomal RNA
Source: RNAcentral